This 263-nucleotide ribosomal RNA is filed under the name uncultured bacterium. Its description in RNAcentral is "partial 16S ribosomal RNA". It matches the Rfam family "Bacterial small subunit ribosomal RNA", at positions 99 to 353 of the family's 1533-position model. The record is from RNAcentral.
CGAACGGGUGAGUAACACAUAAGUAACCUGCCCUAGACAGGGGGAUAACUAUUGGAAACGAUAGCUAAGACCGCAUAGGUACGGACACUGCAUGGUGACCGUAUUAAAAGUGCCUCAAAGCACUGGUAGAGGAUGGACUUAUGGCGCAUUAGCUGGUUGGCGGGGUAACGGCCCACCAAGGCGACGAUGCGUAGCCGACCUGAGAGGGUGACCGGCCACACUGGGACUGAGACACGGCCCAGACUCCUACGGGAGGCAGCAUG